Molecule: ribosomal RNA, 362 nt
Filed under: uncultured bacterium
Lineage: Bacteria
Description: bacterial SSU rRNA
Rfam family: Bacterial small subunit ribosomal RNA
Source: RNAcentral
GACGAACGCUGGCGGCAGGCUUAACACAUGCAAGUCGAGCGCCCCGCGAAGGGAGCGGCGGACGGGUGAGUAACGCGUGGGAAUCUGCCCUUUGGUGUGGGACAACCACGGGAAACUGUGGCUAAUACCGCAUGAGCCCGAGAGGGGAAAGCCGCAAGGCGCCGAGGGAUGAGCCCCGCGUCGGAUUAGCUAGUUGGUAGGGUAACGGCCUACCAAGGCGAUGAUCCCGUAGCUGGUCNGAGAGGAUGAUCAGCCACACUGGGACUGAGACACGGCCCAGACUCCUACGGGAGGCAGCAGUGGGGAAUAUUGGACAAUGGGGGAAACCCUGAUCCAGCCAUGCCGCGUGAGUGAUGAAGGCC